AGUGAACGCUGGCGGUAGGCCUAACACAUGCAAGUCGAACGGCAGCACAGUAAGAGCUUGCUCUUACGGGUGGCGAGUGGCGGACGGGUGAGGAAUACAUCGGAAUCUACUUUUUCGUGGGGAAUAACGUAGGGAAACUUACGCUAAUACCGCAUACGACCUACGGGUGAAAGCAGGGGAUCUUCGGACCUUGCGCGAUUGAAUGAGCCGAUGUCGGAUUAGCUAGUUGGCGGGGUAAAGGCCAACCAAGGCGACGAUCCGUAGCUGGUCUGAGAGGAUGAUCAGCCACACUGGAACUGAGACACGGUCCAGACUCCUACGGGAGGCAGCAGUGGGGAAUAUUGGACAAUGGGCGCAAGCCUGAUCCAGCCAUACCGCGUGGGUGAAGAAGGCCUUCGGGUUGUAAAGCCCUUUUGUUGGGAAAGAAAAGCAGCAGGUUAAUACCCCGCUGUUCUGACGGUACCCAAAGAAUAAGCACCGGCUAACUUCGUG
This 492-nucleotide ribosomal RNA is filed under the name uncultured bacterium. Its description in RNAcentral is "partial 16S ribosomal RNA". It matches the Rfam family "Bacterial small subunit ribosomal RNA", at positions 29 to 507 of the family's 1533-position model. The record is from RNAcentral.